CAGCCGCCGCGGUAAUACGAAGGGGGCUAGCGUUGUUCGGAAUUACUGGGCGUAAAGCGCACGUAGGCGGAUAUUUAAGUCAGGGGUGAAAUCCCAGAGCUCAACUCUGGAACUGCCUUUGAUACUGGGUAUCUUGAGUAUGGAAGAGGUGAGUGGAAUUCCGAGUGUAGAGGUGAAAUUCGUAGAUAUUCGGAGGAACACCAGUGGCGAAGGCGGCUCACUGGUCCAUUACUGACGCUGAGGUGCGAAAGCGUGGGGAGCAAACAGGAUUAGAUACCCGCGUAGUCCCUGUCUAUUAUAC
Molecule: ribosomal RNA, 301 nt
Filed under: uncultured bacterium
Lineage: Bacteria
Description: partial 16S ribosomal RNA
Rfam family: Bacterial small subunit ribosomal RNA
Source: RNAcentral